RNAcentral lists this ribosomal RNA (209 nucleotides) under Pseudomonas aeruginosa. Its description in RNAcentral is "partial 16S ribosomal RNA". It matches the Rfam family "Bacterial small subunit ribosomal RNA", at positions 1 to 210 of the family's 1533-position model. The record is from RNAcentral. Lineage: Bacteria; Pseudomonadati; Pseudomonadota; Gammaproteobacteria; Pseudomonadales; Pseudomonadaceae.
AGCAGUAUUGAACUGAAGAGUUUGAUCAUGGCUCAGAUUGAACGCUGGCGGCAGGCCUAACACAUGCAAGUCGAGCGGAUGAAGGGAGCUUGCUCCUGGAUUCAGCGGCGGACGGGUGAGUAAUGCCUAGGAAUCUGCCUGGUAGUGGGGGAUAACGUCCGGAAACGGGCGCUAAUACCGCAUACGUCCUGAGGGAGAAAGUGGGGGAU